CAAUAGCGUAUAUUUAAGUUGUUGCAGUUAAAAAGCUCGUAGUUGGAUUUCGGGUGUGGACGACCGGUCCGUCUUUGAUGUGUACUGGUUGGUUGCGCCUUAUUGUCGAGGACGUGGUUCUAGCUUUCAUUAGCCGGGACACGGAGUCGGCAGCGUUACUUUGAGAAAAUUAGAGUGUUCAAAGCAGGCUAUCGCUCUGAAUACUACAGCAUGGAAUAACACGAUAGGACUCCGAGCCUAUUCUGUUGGUCUUCGGGACCGGAGUAAUGAUUAAGAGGGACAGUUGGGGGCAUUCGUAUUCCGAUGUCAGAGGUGAAAUUCUUGGAUUAUCGGAAGACGAACAUCUGCGAAAGCAUUUGCCAAGGAUGUUUUCAUUAA
This 378-nucleotide ribosomal RNA is filed under the name uncultured eukaryote. RNAcentral describes it as "partial 18S ribosomal RNA". It matches the Rfam family "Eukaryotic small subunit ribosomal RNA", at positions 592 to 976 of the family's 1831-position model. The record is from RNAcentral.